AUGGUGGAGACAAGAAAACAUAUUGUCUAUCCCUUGGUUUGUCGACUUUUGAAGCUAGCACUAGUAUUGCCUGUUGCCACUGCUACAGUUGAGAGAUCUUUUUCAGCUAUGAGAAUUGUAAAGACAUAUUUGCGCAAUCGUCUUGGUGACGACGCCUUGAAGUGCGACCUUAUUUUUUAUGUGGAGAAAACCGAAAUGAGGAAGGUUACUAAUGAUGCGGUAAUUGAUCGCUUUGAAGCCAUGAAAAAACGUCGGAAACCAUUUUAG
This 267-nucleotide ribosomal RNA is filed under the name Triticum aestivum (bread wheat). RNAcentral's name for it is "partial small subunit ribosomal RNA". The record is from RNAcentral. Lineage: Eukaryota; Viridiplantae; Streptophyta; Magnoliopsida; Poales; Poaceae.